Molecule: ribosomal RNA, 506 nt
Filed under: bacterium enrichment culture clone OZDCA19
Lineage: Bacteria
Description: bacterial SSU rRNA
Rfam family: Bacterial small subunit ribosomal RNA
Source: RNAcentral
GAGUUUGAUCCUGGCUCAGAUUGAACGCUGGCGACAUGCCUUACACAUGCAAGUCGAACGGCAGCACGGGAGCUUGCUCCUGGUGGCGAGUGGCGAACGGGUGAGUAAUGCAUCGGAACGUAUCCUGGAGUGGGGGAUAACGUAGCGAAGUUACGCUAAUACCGCAUAUUCUGUGAGCAGGAAAGCGGGGGACCUUCGGGCCUCGCGCUCUUGGAGCGGCCGAUGUCGGAUUAGCUAGUUGGUGAGGUAAAGGCUCACCAAGGCGACGAUCCGUAGCAGGUCUGAGAGGAUGAUCUGCCACACUGGAACUGAGACACGGUCCAGACUCCUACGGGAGGCAGCAGUGGGGAAUAUUGGACAAUGGGCGAAAGCCUGAUCCAGCCAUGCCGCGUGUGUGAAGAAGGUCUUCGGAUUGUAAAGCACUUUAAGUUGGGAGGAAGGGCAGUUACCUAAUACGUGAUUGUUUUGACGUUACCGACAGAAUAAGCACCGGCUAACUCUGUGCC